This is a long non-coding RNA of Malaclemys terrapin pileata, 363 nucleotides long. RefSeq lists it as uncharacterized. NCBI's taxonomy places the organism in Eukaryota, Metazoa, Chordata, Testudines, Emydidae. The transcript has 3 exons. The record is from RefSeq and is a predicted model, not a curated record.
GUGGGGCUUUAAAGUUAGUUUCUUUUACUGCAGUCCAGGAGAUAGGAUCACCUUUGUUUCCUGUAAUUUAUAACCUGGUCUGUUACAGUAAGUGCUGCAGCAGUCAGAAGAAAUGGAUUUGAAGCUAGUCACUCUCUUUGCUGCUCUUGCAUUUGUGAUUGUCCAAACAUCUGAGGGAUUCCCUGGACCAGCGUGUCGCAACCAACAGAACCCAGCUCCUACCUACCCAUGAUCAACCUAGCUGGCCACUAGAUUGAUCCGGACUCUAGACUGCUACUCUACUUCCAAUAUCCUUUAACUGUUGCACAGAAGUAUCGCACCAUGUGCCCAGAAGACUUCUAAGAAAAGUUCUAAAAUUUGAAA